This 2029-nucleotide long non-coding RNA is filed under the name Amphibalanus amphitrite. Its description in RNAcentral is "uncharacterized LOC122381798, transcript variant X4". Lineage: Eukaryota; Metazoa; Arthropoda; Thecostraca; Balanomorpha; Balanidae. The record is from RNAcentral.
GCAAACUUGAUAUUAAAGAAUCUCAGGUAUUUUGGCUAUAUAAAGUGAGAAGAAAAGUUCAAUUGAUCAUUUUUAUUACAAUUGCAAUAAUGAUAAUAUCAUGAUAAUUGUACUGUCAGCACAGAAGAUCCUCAGUCAUAGUUAACAAAAUGGAAAAAAUUAGCUGUGUUUUUAAGAUUCCAGUGGUGGCCAUCAACUGCUCAGGAAAGCAGCCCAGAAUCACUUCACAACAGGUUUCCAAAGGAUCAUCAUUCAUCAGCACAGAAGGGUGGGAAAGAGAAGGCUGUUCAAAUUCUGAAAAGCCAGAGCUGCAAAGGAGGUCAAAGAUGCAGUGCAGUUGGCCCACUCAGUAGAGUUUCACUAGUGGUUCUGAUGUGGACUGGGGAUUACACGCUGGAUUGAAGUGGCCGGUCUGGAGCAGCUGUAAUUCAUCAUUCGUGCUGAUUGCGGACGAGUAAGAGCCCGCGUUGGCCCCGAUCGGCGAUCGCUGGCCAAAGCCCACCACCAGUUUGGUGAUAGGCGUUGGCUGUGAUAUCUAGUGUCGCCUAUGUGUGAAAAGGACAAGUUGAUAACAAAACCUGUUGCGCCAUGUUAUUAACCCGCGCCCGGGUGGCCCUCAGCCAACUUGGUGGGGGGGGGGGGAGGUGUAUUCGGCCACACCAGGUUAUCUUGGAAUGUAGCAAAGCUGGAAAGACGCAGUAAAAUCAAUCUAUAGGUCGCUAUUUUUCUUCAGAAUCAUACAGGUCAUUUUUGAUCAGGUCAUCGCUGAGGUCACUGGAGGUCACCAAAAGUAAAAUGAUGACGAAUUUUGGCCCCCGAUUUUGACAACAUCACAAAUUGGUUCAUAAUUCGGGAACCAAAGAAGCUACAGCGCCGCGGAAAAGCGAAUUCGAUAGCUCUUUCGAAAAUCUUUCAGGUUCUCAGAUUUGAGCUAAGGUCAACUAAGGUUCAGUUUUUGCCUCCAAAGAGCAAAAACUGAACAAUCGGCUUGCUUCGGAAGUCGUCUUUUCUUAAAAAAUUUUUAAACUGAUACCAACCUUUUAUUACGUUGAUUUUACCGGCACUGCGUUUCUCUCGUCUUCUUGGCCUAACAAGGUCAGCUUAAUAAAUUUGACCUAAGGUCAAUGUCGCAGAAAAUGCCAUUUUGCAUGUCAUUGAUUCGUUACCGUGAAAUUGAGAUUAACAUCAGUAGCGGCAGAACACCUUCAAUUAAGGGGGCAUUGCCGACUUUUGGUCUCAUUCUUUCCAUGCAACGCCCAUAGGGCUAAUGUUAAAAUGCCAAAAUCAAAGGGGGGCACGGUGCCCCGGUGCCCUCGGCCUGUUCCGCCGCCUAUGAUUAUGAUGCUUUUAGCGCUCUGCUGGCCACGUUCCAUCUAAAAUCGAUGUACAAAAAUAAACUGUUGGGAGGCGUUACAUGACCUGAGAUGACCUCAGGAGCAUACGAUAGAUCCCGAUGUUUGAGUGCUUUUGUUUCAAAAGCAGAACAUUUCGAGUUCCUCAUACUGACUGAAACUGGAGACGUCGCAAAGUUGACCUGACCCUAGGUCACCACCGAUAUCAAAAUUAAAGAUAUUCAAGAUACUGGUACUGAUUCUCUCAUGUAAUAGCUCGAGUUUCAAACUUCUACUUCAUGGUGACCUGACCUGACCUUAGGUGACAUGGGGUUACUUUUUUCACAAUUGAUGCGAAUCGAUGCAUUAUACAUAAGCUAUGCUAAGUUUCGUGUCGUUUUAUCUAUGCAAGCACAAAAUUGUCAGGUGUGGCCAAAAACGCCCCCACGGCCCACCCACCUGGGGGCUGGGGAACGUUAAAGCAGUGAUGUAUUUUUUCGGUGUAUUCCACGAUGCAUCGAUCGGUGUACUUGAUAAUGCAUUAUUUAUUGCUGCGUGUGUACGCUUUUCCUCUGUUCAGUGUGAUCUGUGAUAGGAAAACUACCGAUAUAUCUCCACGCGCAUGACUGAAAGAGCUGGCGUGAUCUAUAAUAUUGGGUGUCUGUUUUUGUUUGGCAUUUUAUAAAUAAUGAGUCAGC